GUAGACCCGAUUACAAUUUUGGACAUUAAAACAGAUUUGGACUCGUAUAUGUGUCAAUUUUUGGUUGGUAGAGAGUAUGAAGAAGAAUUUCGGCUCGUGUUUUAUCAGAGAAAAGAAGAAUUUUAUACAACUCCAAAGAAAAGCAUCAAUGGUGGAAGAAGCUUGCUUGUGAGAUUAUAUUCAACGUCGAGUGAAGAAGCAGUGAACCAUAAAUCGAAGAGACAGAGAGAGCAAGCGAGAGUGAGAGAAAGAGAUACGUCAUACGUGAUUGUUUUUGUGUGUGUGUUUUGGCUUUUUGGCUUUCUUCGCCGAUUUCAAGAACGGCGUGAAUCGACUUUUCUCCAGAUCUCAUCUUUUCAGUGUUUGAUUCUCUCAAAAUCUGCAGGCGAAUCUAGAUUUGUCAUAUCUCGUUUUCGUUUGCACGAGAUUUAUAUCUGAUAGUGUCGGUGUUCAACUUUUCUCAAUUCAAAUGGAGAAACCGGAGAGCGAGAAGAAACGGCGGUGUCUGAUGUCGGUGCAUGGGCUAUGAAUGUAAUCAGCUCCGUUGGAAUCAUCAUGGCUAAUAAACAGCUCAUGUCGUCCUCUGGUUUCGGUUUUGGCUUUGACUGAUUGGCUAGCAUGAGCAUGAAGAUGUGAGAUGCAAAUAUCACCUUGUCAAGCAUAGUUUGUGUCUCCAAUUUUGUAAAAUUUUUUGACACAUUUUUCAAACAUUUAGUUUUUAGACAAUCCAUGUAUGGAUCCUAUCAUUGGACAAUAUUAACAAUUAAUCUCUUUCAAAAGUCUAAAUUGUAGAUUUUCUAUUAUAUAAAUUAUAAAGCUUGUUUGGAUA
This is a long non-coding RNA of Arabidopsis lyrata subsp. lyrata, 829 nucleotides long. RefSeq lists it as uncharacterized. The record is from RefSeq and is a predicted model, not a curated record. The transcript has 2 exons. NCBI's taxonomy places the organism in Eukaryota, Viridiplantae, Streptophyta, Magnoliopsida, Brassicales, Brassicaceae.